This 231-nucleotide ribosomal RNA is filed under the name uncultured bacterium. RNAcentral's name for it is "partial 16S ribosomal RNA". It matches the Rfam family "Bacterial small subunit ribosomal RNA", at positions 30 to 255 of the family's 1533-position model. The record is from RNAcentral.
AUUGAACGCUGGCGGCAGGCCUAACACAUGCAAGUCGAACGGUAGCACAGAGAGCUUGCUCUCGGGUGACGAGUGGCGGACGGGUGAGUAAUGUCUGGGAAACUGCCCGAUGGAGGGGGAUAACUACUGGAAACGGUAGCUAAUACCGCAUAACGUCGCAAGACCAAAGAGGGGGGACCUUCGGGCCUCCUUGCCAUCGGAUGUGCCCAGGUGGGAUUAGCUUGUAGGUGG